CCUACGGGAGACUGCAGUGAGGAAUAUUGGUCAAUGGGCGCGAGCCUGAACCAGCCAAGUAGCGUGAAGGAUGACUGCCCUGCGGAUUGUAAACUUCUUUUGUAAGGGAAUAAAGUGAGGCACGUGUGCCUUUUUGUAUGUACUUUAUGAAUAAGGAUCGGCUAACUCCGUGCCAGCAGCCGCGGUAAUACGGAGGAUCCGAGCGUUAUCCGGAUUUAUUGGGUUUAAAGGGUGCGGAGAUGGGUUGUUAAGUCAGUUGUGAAAGGCUGCGGCUCAACCGUAAAACUGCAGUUGAUACUGGCAGCCUUGAGUACAGUUGAGGUAGGCGGAAUUCGUGGUGUAGCGGUGAAAUGCUUAGAUAUCACGAAGAACUCCGAUUGCGAAGGCAGCCUACUAAACUGCCACUGACAUUGAUGCUCGAAAGUGUGGGUAUCAAACAGGAUUAGAUACCCGGGUAGUC
This 460-nucleotide ribosomal RNA is filed under the name uncultured bacterium. Its description in RNAcentral is "partial 16S ribosomal RNA". It matches the Rfam family "Bacterial small subunit ribosomal RNA", at positions 338 to 795 of the family's 1533-position model. The record is from RNAcentral.